This 253-nucleotide ribosomal RNA is filed under the name uncultured bacterium. RNAcentral's name for it is "partial 16S ribosomal RNA". It matches the Rfam family "Bacterial small subunit ribosomal RNA", at positions 524 to 776 of the family's 1533-position model. The record is from RNAcentral.
GACGGGGGAUGCAAGCGUUAUCCGGAAUCACUGGGCGUAAAGCGUCUGUAGGUGGUGAUGCAAGUCACUGGUGAAAAACUCUGGCUCAACCGGAGGAAAGCCAGUGAAACUGCAUGACUAGAGUGUGGUAGAGGUAGAAGGAAUUCCCUGAGUAGCGGUGAAAUGCGUAGAUACAGGGAAGAACACCGGAGGCGAAAGCGUUCUGCUGGAACACAACUGACACUGAGAGACGAAAGCUAGGGGAGCGAAUGGG